AUGCAUUCAGCUGGUCAGUUUUUUCGUAUGAAGCUUGAUGUUUAUGUUGCUUUGGCAACUUUUGUGCUUUGGAACUUGAUGAAUGGUAUCAUUGCACGAUGCACAGUUAUUAGUCUUGUAGGAGCACAAAAGACAACUUUGUAUCCUGAUCAUAUUUUUCUACUUCUGAACUCCACACGGUCCUCUGAACCAUUUAGGAUAGUGUGUUCAGUAUGUCCGAUUGCCAGGAUAUGCCGAAGGUCUGAUUUUGUCCAGUAUAAAUCGAUGGGCAGUUAUAUGUUGAAUUAUAUAUCUGCCAGUGUUUCAGAUGUGAUUGUUAAUAACCACUCUGCUGUCUUUCUUGUGAACUAA
RNAcentral lists this ribosomal RNA (351 nucleotides) under Triticum aestivum (bread wheat). RNAcentral describes it as "partial small subunit ribosomal RNA". Lineage: Eukaryota; Viridiplantae; Streptophyta; Magnoliopsida; Poales; Poaceae. The record is from RNAcentral.